UGUGUGUGUGUGUGUGUGUGUGUGUGUGUGUGUGUGUGUGUGUGUGUGUGUGUGUGUGCACAUUUCCCUGUAAGGACCAGGACGGUACAUUCAUUCAAGGUUAGAAGUGGAUAUAUACAAUGGAUCUGAAAGUUCAAUCUUCAUAAUUCAAAAAUAUAAUUAAUUAUCAUUAUCAUUUGUCUCACAUAUUGCUCUUCAUCUUUUCUCGAUUUUUCUUUUCAUCCCUAGAACUGAUAGCUAUUUUGCACGUCCUGUAAAAAUGAUUAAUGGAAAUGGAAGCACUGCAUUGCUCCCUGGGAGGUUCUACAUAAAUGUACUGAGAAAACCUUAUACGCUGCGUCAGGACUUUCGUUGGGCUUGUUAUUUAACUGGGCAUUCUGUUUGUGAUAUUCUCUUAAAACAUGUUUUCUAACAAAUAUACAGUGUCUGUGUGUAUAUUGAUUGUUGUUGCUCUAAAGGAUUUAUUUAAUGAAUAUACACGUUAU
Long non-coding RNA from Penaeus chinensis, 485 nucleotides. RefSeq lists it as uncharacterized. The transcript has 2 exons. The record is from RefSeq and is a predicted model, not a curated record. Lineage: Eukaryota; Metazoa; Arthropoda; Malacostraca; Decapoda; Penaeidae.